CGGGUAAAACUCCUGCUUGUUACCGUUUCAUCUGGCCGGAGCCGGAUGUCAUUUUUGGUGUCUGAUUCGGUAAGGAACCGGGAGCACCAUCUGCGUAGGGUUGAAGAUCGCUCUUCAGGUUUGAGACCUAAGCCCCCUACGGUCUUGGAUAGCCCCCGCCAGGCAGGGACCCCAAUUUUUCGUUGCGAACGCACCAGGUGCGCUC
RNAcentral lists this small RNA (205 nucleotides) under Phytopseudomonas seleniipraecipitans. RNAcentral describes it as "Pseudomonas seleniipraecipitans Pseudomonas sRNA P27". It matches the Rfam family "Pseudomonas sRNA P27". The record is from RNAcentral. Lineage: Bacteria; Pseudomonadati; Pseudomonadota; Gammaproteobacteria; Pseudomonadales; Pseudomonadaceae.